RNAcentral lists this long non-coding RNA (177 nucleotides) under Ornithorhynchus anatinus (platypus). RNAcentral's name for it is "lncRNA (ENSOANG00000039517.1)". The record is from RNAcentral. Lineage: Eukaryota; Metazoa; Chordata; Mammalia; Monotremata; Ornithorhynchidae.
UUUCAGGGACUGUUCUAAGCGCCGGGGUAGAGGCGAGCUGAUCGGGUUGCCUCUAAUCACAGACCCGAUCCCCAUUUUACAGAUGAGCAAACCGAGGCCCAGAGAAGCCGGGCGACGAGCUUACGUCGAUCCAUCGACAGGGUUCGCGGAGUGGCUUUUCUCGAAAUGACCGGCGUG